AGUUCGAUUCUGGCUCAGAUUGAACGCUGGCGGGAUGCUUUACACAUGCAAGUCGAACGGCAGCACGGACUUCGGUCUGGUGGCGAGUGGCGAACGGGUGAGUAAUGUAUCGGAACGUGCCUAGUAGCGGGGGAUAACUACGCGAAAGCGUAGCUAAUACCGCAUACGCCCUUCGGGGAAAGCGGGGGACCUUCGGGCCUCGCACUAUUAGAGCGGCCGAUAUCGGAUUAGCUAGUUGGUGGGUAACGGCUCACCAAGGCGACGAUCCGUAGCUGGUUUGAGAGGGACGACCAGCCACACUGGGACUGAGACACGGCCCAGACUCCUACGGAGGCAGCAGGGAAUUUUGGACAAUGGGGAAACCCUGAUCCAGCCAUCCCGCGUGUGCGAUGAAGGCCUUCGGUUGUAAAAGCACUUUUGGCAGGAGAGGAAGAAAACGGCACGGGAUAAUACCCCCGUGCAACUGACGGUACCUGCAGAAUAAGCACCGGCUAACGCGCCGCGCAGCCGCGGUAAUACGUAGGGUGCAAGCGUUAAUCGGAAUUACUGCUAAAGCGUGCGCAGGCGGUUCGGAAAGAAAGAUGUGAAAUCCCAGAGCUUAACUUUGGAACUGCAUUUUUAACUACCGAGCUAGAGUGUGUCAGAGGGAGGUGGAAUUCCGCGUGUAGCAGUGAAAUGCGUAGAUAUGCGGAGGAACACCGAUGGCGAAGGCAGCCUCCUGGGAUCACUCAUUGACGCUCAUGCACGAAAGCGUGGGGAGCAAACAGGAUUAGAUACCCUGGUAGUCCACGCCCUAAACGAUGUCAACUAGCUGUUGGGGCCUUUCGGGCCUAUGGUAGCGCAGCUAACGCGUGAAGUUGACCGCCUGGGGAGUACGGUCGCAAGAUUAAACUCGCAUGGAAUUGACGGGGACUCGCACAAGCGGUGGAUGAUGUGGAUUAAUUCGAUGCAACGCGAAACCUUACCUACCCUUGACAUGUCUGGAAUCCCGAAGAGAUUUGGGAGUGCUCGCAAGAGAACCGGAACACAGGUGUUGCAUGGCUGUCGUCAGCUCGUGUCGAGAUGUUGGGUUAAGUCCCGCAACGAGCGCAACCCUUGUCAUUAGUUGCUACGAAAGGGCACUCUUAAUGAGACUGCCGGUGACAAACCGGAGGAAGGUGGGGAUGACGUCAAGUCCUCAUGGCCCUUAUGGGUAGGGCUUUCACACGUCAUACAAUGAAGGUCGGGACAGAGGGUCGCCAACCCGCGAGGGGGAGCUAAUCCCAGAAACCUGAUCGUAGUCCGGAUCGCAGUCUGCAACUCGACUGCGUGAAGUCGGAAUCGCUAGUAAUCGCGGAUCAGCAUGUCGCGGUGAACAUGUUCCCGGGCGGUACACACCGCCCGUCACACCAUGGGAGUGGGUUUUACCAGAAGUAGUUAGCCUAACCGUAAGGAGGGCGAUUACCACGGUAGGAUUCAUGACUGGGGUGAAGUCGUAACAAGGUAG
RNAcentral lists this ribosomal RNA (1486 nucleotides) under uncultured Bordetella sp. RNAcentral describes it as "partial 16S-23S ribosomal RNA intergenic spacer". It matches the Rfam family "Bacterial small subunit ribosomal RNA". The record is from RNAcentral. Lineage: Bacteria; Pseudomonadati; Pseudomonadota; Betaproteobacteria; Burkholderiales; Alcaligenaceae.